UUUUGGUCGCCAACGAGUGGCGGACGGGUGAGUAACACGUAGGUAACCUGCCCAGAAGCGGGGGACAACAUUUGGAAACAGAUGCUAAUACCGCAUAACAGCGUUGUUCGCAUGAACAACGCUUAAAAGAUGGCUUCUCGCUAUCACUUCUGGAUGGACCUGCGGUGCAUUAGCUUGUUGGUGGGGUAACGGCCUACCAAGGCGAUGAUGCAUAGCCGAGUUGAGAGACUGAUCGGCCACAAUGGGACUGAGACACGGCCCAUACUCCUACGGGAGGCAGCAGUAGGGAAUCUUCCACAAUGGGCGCAAGCCUGAUGGAGCAACACCGCGUGAGUGAAGAAGGGUUUCGGCUCGUAAAGCUCUGUUGUUAAAGAAGAACACGUAUGAGAGUAACUGUUCAUACGUUGACGGUAUUUAACCAGAAAGUCACGGCUAACUACGUGCCAGCAGCCGCGGUAAUACGUAGGUGGCAAGCGUUAUCCGGAUUUAUUGGGCGUAAAGAGAGUGCAGGCGGUUUUCUAAGUCUGAUGUGAAAGCCUUCGGCUUAACCGGAGAAGUGCAUCGGAAACUGGAUAACUUGAGUGCAGAAGAGGGUAGUGGAACUCCAUGUGUAGCGGUGGAAUGCGUAGAUAUAUGGAAGAACACCAGUGGCGAAGGCGGCUACCUGGUCUGCAACUGACGCUGAGACUCGAAAGCAUGGGUAGCGAACAGGAUUAGAUACCCUGGUAGUCCAUGCCGUAAACGAUGAGUGCUAGGUGUUGGAGGGUUUCCGCCCUUCAGUGCCGGAGCUAACGCAUUAAGCACUCCGCCUGGGGAGUACGACCGCAAGGUUGAAACUCAAAGGAAUUGACGGGGGCCCGCACAAGCGGUGGAGCAUGUGGUUUAAUUCGAAGCUACGCGAAGAACCUUACCAGGUCUUGACAUCUUGCGCCAACCCUAGAGAUAGGGCGUUUCCUUCGGGAACGCAAUGACAGGUGGUGCAUGGUCGUCGUCAGCUCGUGUCGUGAGAUGUUGGGUUAAGUCCCGCAACGAGCGCAACCCUUGUUACUAGUUGCCAGCAUUAAGUUGGGCACUCUAGUGAGACUGCCGGUGACAAACCGGAGGAAGGUGGGGACGACGUCAGAUCAUCAUGCCCCUUAUGACCUGGGCUACACACGUGCUACAAUGGACGGUACAACGAGUCGCGAACUCGCGAGGGCAAGCAAAUCUCUUAAAACCGUUCUCAGUUCGGACUGCAGGCUGCAACUCGCCUGCACGAAGUCGGAAUCGCUAGUAAUCGCGGAUCA
Molecule: ribosomal RNA, 1286 nt
Filed under: Limosilactobacillus fermentum
Lineage: Bacteria; Bacillati; Bacillota; Bacilli; Lactobacillales; Lactobacillaceae
Description: bacterial SSU rRNA
Rfam family: Bacterial small subunit ribosomal RNA
Source: RNAcentral